RNAcentral lists this long non-coding RNA (2079 nucleotides) under Oreochromis niloticus (Nile tilapia). Its description in RNAcentral is "lncRNA (ENSONIG00000002749.2)". Lineage: Eukaryota; Metazoa; Chordata; Actinopteri; Cichliformes; Cichlidae. The record is from RNAcentral.
AUGUCUCAUCGGUCACCUCCAAAGGUUGCUAUGAAUUCCAGUGGACCUGUGUUCACAAAGCAGAAUCCCUUCCCAGCAGCACCCAAAGUGAGGACGGCACACUACCACCCAUCCAGCAAACAACCCCUCUCAAAGAAAGAGAAAAAAACUACACUAAGUCCUGUACGUUUAAACCAGCGAUCCAGAACAAAGUUACAUAAUCUAAACCGAGAGAGCCAGCAGCUGUCUAAGAAGCAUGACCGUUUUUCCUCCAUUGAUGGACAACCUGUUCUUAAAGAGUCCCAGGCCUCCACUGUCGUUGGAUUCUCUCCUGAUAGAAAUACUGCCUCAUCUGACAUGGACGAACCCAAACAGUCUGGAAAAAUGGGGAAAUCCAGUGUUUCCCAAGUUCAAGGAGGCCAGGAGGAUUCUGUGCUGGCAAAAUACGUAGAGCGUUUUCGCCAUGGUCGCCCACAGAGUCGAGAGGAGCGCCAUCAGGUGGCUUCUGCCAGUGGAGAAGAGCAGGCUCCUUUUUGGUGGAUGUCACAUUCAUCACCCAGCAGUUCAACACCAACUAAAACAACAGACGAAGAUGUUAUCCAACUUCUGAAAGAGGACCAGGAUCCUGCUCUUUAUGAUCCAUCUGCACAGCGUGACCGUAACAGAUCCCUUUCUCCCUACAGAGGAUCCAAUAGUCUUUUGUCCGACACAUCCCAGGGUGAAUUUGAUGACAGGGAGAUCCUGCACCUUCAAGAAAAGGCCAGCAGACUUCUUCUGAGGGGUGAAUGUUCUGUGAGUGAUGGAUCUGUCCCUGUCAGCUCAGAGGGGCUGGGAUGCUCAGAUUUCUCCUAUCCCAUCAGUAUAGAUGAGCCAGUGAAGCAACCUUUGAUUCCCAGUUUAUUCAAAAAUACUACUGCAAAGGCCAGCUCAGACUCAGCUCAUGGUGUGUCCUUCCAAAAAUCUGUCAUGCCUUCUUUGGUGCCUCCUACCCGUCCAGAGGAAGACAUAUUGUUCCAGUGGCGUUUAAGGAGGAAAAUGGAGCAAGCCAGAGAGAGGCCCCUGUCUGUGCAAGCCUCCAGUCCUCAUGCAUUUAGUUGGCAGGCAACGAGGUUAAGCUAUCCCUCCAUUAGUGAACAAGCUUACAAGGAACAGCAGGGUACCCAACCUCCUCAAUUCUCACAAAGAGAUACUCAUUCACACAUCACUGCUGCCCAGCCAGAAACCACAGAGGCCCAGAGGUUCUGUCCCCCAGCUCCAGGUCCUUCACUAUUCCCCACCAUCAAUGUUUCUGGUUCAGUCCCUCAGCCGCAGAGCAUUGCCCACGUUCCUUCCCACAUGCAUUUUCUCUGUGACGUCUUGCCAUGUCCCAUCCAGUCAUCUCAUGCCAAAGUGCACCAGAGCAUUUCACAAAGGUUAGACGAGUCACAAACCAAAGUUCUUCACAAAAAGACCCAAGUCCCUGAAAGCCUUGGAGAAUUAACUCUUUGUGAACGCAUGUCACUCACUCCACCCACGCCAUCUGAGAGAGAGUGGCCUGAUCACCAAAAAAUGUCUGAGAAGAACAAGAAAAAGAAAACGGGGACGAAGCAAUCAGAGGUAAAUGGGAAGGAGGAAGCAGUGCUCGCCAGACAGCAUAAGAAAUCAGCAAGGAAUUCAUUACAUCAAAAGCUUCCCAAAAAGGUCACAUCAUGUAAAGAGCAGCAGCAACCAGAGAGAAGACAGGAGCUUCCCAGUGAAAGCUGUGCUGGUGAUCACGAACCACCACCAUCCCCUAUCCACAAUGCAUUAGGACAGGUAGUUUCAGAGGUACUGUUUCCUACGGUGGAUUCCUCUUCUCCGAAAAGGAUUCCUGUUUCAUCUGAUUCUCCUUCCUUCACCGUCGCUGCACCUUCACCAUCGCCAAUUCCUCCAAGCAAUGCACUGAACUCUAUGGAAGUCAUUUCACAGCUUUUCCAAGAGGCCGAAGAUUCGGAUGAAAAAGAGUUUGGAGAUGAUCCUUUGCUACAAGUUCUUCGCAAACAGAGAAAAUGGGUGAAGGAGCAGAUCAGUGAGGUGGACUCCAUCUUAAAUGAAUUCGUGGAAGAGCAACAAGUUACUUGA